UUUUUUUCCCAAAAAAAAAUUCUGAAGACUUAAGUAGCUUUUUUUAAAGAUUUAAUUUAUUUAUUUGUUACACUCUUAACUAUUGAUUGAUGAAGAGAAUGCAUAUAAUACAAGUCUAAAGACAAAUUUUUGUCUGCAAAUCUUACUAAUUAAUACUCAGCUAGAAUACUUGUGAUUAUUGGUUCUCUAAUUCUAAUAUGGACAAUACUAACCCAUGGAGUAAGAAGGGCUUGGUAAGUUGAUAACAGUGCUCUUGACUUUGGUCAUCAUGUUAAUGCUGUUGGUGAUGCCUUGUGAUCCAAUUCCACUGUCCUUCAAACCCUGGAAUGGAAAAUGAUCUGGUCCACGAGCUGGUGCAGAGUUGAUUUGAACUGUUCCUGUCUCCAUUGCAUCACUUAUCAACACAGCUUUGUUGAUGUCCUUUGUGAACACACAGCCCUGGAGCCCGAAAUUGCUAGCAUUGCAAUGAUGGAUUCCUUCUUCAGCAGAAUUGAUCCUGAUAACUGGAAGAAUAGGCCCAAAUGGCUCCUCCCAUGCAAUCCUCAUAUCAGGUCUUACAUUAUCUAGAAGCAGAGGCCAAAUGAGGUUUCCAUCUCUCUUGUAUUCCUGGCAAAACGUUGCUCCUUUCUCUUUAGCAUCCGUAACAAGUCCUUCGAUGAAAUUAGCAGAUGAUUCUGUAACCACUGGAGUGAUGUCACAGUCGUCCUCUGGCGGCCCAACUCUUAGUUUUGCAACUCUCGCAUUCACCUUCUCUACUAGAGCAUCAGCCACGGAUUCCAUCACCAGCACCACCUUAAUUGCAGUGCAUCUUUGGCCACUGUAUGAAAAACCUCCUUUGAUAAUAUUUGCAGCAACCAAAUCAAGAUCAGCAUCCUCCAGCACAAUGCAAGCAUCUUUUCCUCCCAACUCCAUCUGAAGAGGGAUCAUUCCUGCCUUCUUCGAAAUUGCAAUACCAGUGUCUCCACCGGUGAAGCUUAUACAGUUGACACCAGGAUGCAUAGUAAGGAAGUCACCAAUCUCAGAACCUUUCCCAGUGACACAACUGAUGAGGCCUUUGGGAAAACCAGCUAAGUGAAAGCAGUGAACCAUAUGCAGGCAAGAGACAGCACCCUGAGUUGGAGGCUUGAGGACAAGGGAGUUUCCAGCAAUCAAUGCAGGACCAAUCUUUGAGACAGCAAGGUUGACAGGAUAGUUAAAUGGUGGAAUGGCUAAAAUCACUCCAAGGGGGAUCUUCGAAGUGAGGCAGUAUUUUGUCCUCUCAUUACCAGGAAAACUAUCAGAGACCAAGAACUUGCCCUCUCCCAGAAUCCUUACUCCCUCUUCAGCAGUGUAGGAAACAAGAUCCCCAGACCUCACAACCUCUGAGACUGCAUCUUUGGCUGGUUUUGCAAUUUCUUUCACCAGGCACUCAGCAAUUGGAGCCUUGUGCUCUUUCAGGAUAGCAGCAGCCUUGUGAAGGAGUUCUGCUCUCUUCCAAAGUGGAGUUCUAGCCCAAGCUUUCUGCCCAAUUUUGGCUGAUUCCAUUACCUUGUUAACCUCUGCUUGGCUGCAAGCUUGAACCUUGUACUGAGUCUUUCUUGUAGUGGGAUUGAUGAUGGCAACAGUUUUGCCAGAAGAAGACUUUUUCCACUCUCCAUCAGAGUAAUACUUGUAAACAUCUCAAAACCUCUCCAUCCAAAAUCUCUGCAAAACCUCCAGUCCCAGCCAUGGCCGAUGGAGAAACUAGAAUGGCCAAGGAUAGCUAGCAGAGGAACCCAAGAAAGAAAGAG
This 1769-nucleotide unclassified non-coding RNA is filed under the name Hevea brasiliensis (rubber tree). The record is from RNAcentral. Lineage: Eukaryota; Viridiplantae; Streptophyta; Magnoliopsida; Malpighiales; Euphorbiaceae.